UAGGGAAUCUUCCGCAAUGGACGCAAGUCUGACGGAGCAACGCCGCGUGAGUGAAGAAGGAUUUCGGUUCGUAAAACUCUGUUGUUAGAGAGGAACAGCGCAUAGAGUAACUGUUAUGCGUGUGACGGUAUCUAACCAGAAAGCCACGGCUAACUACGUGCCAGCAGCCGCGGUAAUACGUAGGUGGCAAGCGUUGUCCGGAUUUAUUGGGCGUAAAGCGAGCGCAGGCGGUCAAUUAAGUCUGAUGUGAAAGCCCCCGGCUCAACCGGGGAGGGUCAUUGGAAACUGGUUGACUUGAGUGCAGAAGAGGAGAGUGGAAUUCCAUGUGUAGCUGUGAAAUGCGUAGAUAUAUGGAGGAACACCAGUGGCGAAGGCGACUCUCUGGUCUGUAACUGACGCUGAGGCUCGAAAGCGUGGGUAGCAAACAGG
This 429-nucleotide ribosomal RNA is filed under the name Bacteroidota bacterium. RNAcentral's name for it is "Bacteroidetes bacterium partial 16S ribosomal RNA". It matches the Rfam family "Bacterial small subunit ribosomal RNA", at positions 355 to 776 of the family's 1533-position model. The record is from RNAcentral. Lineage: Bacteria; Pseudomonadati; Bacteroidota.